GGGGGUGUUCUGGCUUCGACGGGACGCGUAAUAUCGCAGGUUGCAUGUCGAGAUUGUCCAAUGGAUCUCGUAAUAAGAACCAUUAUGGAAAUUAAUGUAAUUGACAAUAAUUACUCAUACCGACUAGCAGCGUAAGCUGACUGGUCUGUUCCCCCGGUGGCGUGCCUAUCAGUGCCGGGCUGAACAUCAUACAAGAUAGGAUAGCGUAUUGGUGUUUUCUGUCUACAAUGCGUGAAACUUAAACAGAAUAGCUUGAAGUCGCUUUGUUACUGGGCUCGGCUUCUCGCGAAAUUUAAUCAGUAACUAAACAUGUAGAUGUUUGUAGGUUUACUGUUUCGGACCGGGGUUCGACUCCCCGCACCUCCACAA
Molecule: transfer-messenger RNA, 369 nt
Filed under: bacterium
Lineage: Bacteria
Rfam family: transfer-messenger RNA
About the family: Bacterial tmRNA, also known as 10Sa RNA or SsrA, is named for its dual tRNA and mRNA-like properties. Its role is to liberate the mRNA from a stalled ribosome. To accomplish this part of the tmRNA is used as a reading frame that ends in a translation stop signal.
Source: RNAcentral